This 72-nucleotide transfer RNA is filed under the name Acropyga guianensis. RNAcentral describes it as "tRNA-Ala". The record is from RNAcentral. Lineage: Eukaryota; Metazoa; Arthropoda; Insecta; Hymenoptera; Formicidae.
AGAAUUUUAGUUUAAUUUUAAAAAACAUUUAAAUUGCAUUUAAAAAUUAUAUUAAUUUAAAUAUAAAUUUUA